UAAGGAAUAUUGGUCAAUGGACGCAAGUCAGAACCAGCCAUGCCGCGUGAAGGAUGAAGGUCCUCUGGAUUGUAAACUUCUUUUAUCUGGGACGAAAACGGGAUCUUUAUCUCAAUUGACGGUACCAGAGGAAUAAGCACCGGCUAACUCCGUGCCAGCAACCGCGGUAAUACGGAGGGUGCGAGCGUUAUCCGGAUUUACUGGGUUUAAAGGGUGCGUAGGUGGGCUUAUAAGUCAGUGGUGAAAUCUCCGAGCUUAACUUGGAAACUGCCGUUGAUACUAUAGGUCGUGAAUUAUCUGGAGGUAAGCGGAAUAUGUCAUGUAGCGGUGAAAUGCUUAGAUAUGACAUAGAACACCAAUUGCGAAGGCAGCUUACUACAUAUAAAUUGACGCUGAGGCACGAAAGCGUGGGGAUCAAACA
This 421-nucleotide ribosomal RNA is filed under the name uncultured bacterium. RNAcentral describes it as "bacterial SSU rRNA". It matches the Rfam family "Bacterial small subunit ribosomal RNA", at positions 355 to 774 of the family's 1533-position model. The record is from RNAcentral.